GACGAACGCUGGCGGCGCGCCUAACACAUGCAAGUCGAACGGAGUAACGAGGAGCUUGCUUUUCUUGACUUAGUGGCGAACGGGUGAGUAACGCGUGAGUAACCUGUACUGGAGUGGGGGACAACAGUUGGAAACGAUUGCUAAUACCGCAUAAGCCCACGGAACCGCAUGGAUCUGCGGGAAAAGGAUUUAUUCGCUUCAGAAUGGACGCGCGUCCAAUUAGCUAGGUGGUGAGGUAACGGCCCACCAAGGCGACGAAUGGUAGCCUGACGGAUAGGUGGAACGGCCGCGUUGGGACUGAGACACAGCCCAGACUCCUACGGAGGGCAGCAGUAUAGGAUAUUGCACGAGGGGGGAUACCCUGAUGCAGCGGCGCCGCGGGGGGGAAGAAGGUUGUUGGAUUGUAAUCUCCGGUCGUAAGAAACGAUAGUGACGGUACCUAACGAGAAAGCACCGGCUAACUACGUG
This 468-nucleotide ribosomal RNA is filed under the name uncultured bacterium. RNAcentral's name for it is "partial 16S ribosomal RNA". It matches the Rfam family "Bacterial small subunit ribosomal RNA", at positions 28 to 507 of the family's 1533-position model. The record is from RNAcentral.